RNAcentral lists this ribosomal RNA (447 nucleotides) under uncultured bacterium. RNAcentral describes it as "bacterial SSU rRNA". It matches the Rfam family "Bacterial small subunit ribosomal RNA", at positions 355 to 825 of the family's 1533-position model. The record is from RNAcentral.
UCGGGAAUUUUGGGCAAUGGGCGAAAGCCUGACCCAGCAACGCCGCGUGAAGGAUGAAGUAUUUCGGUAUGUAAACUUCGAAAGAAUAGGAAGAAUAAAUGACGGUACUAUUUAUAAGGUCCGGCUAACUACGUGCCAGCAGCCGCGGUAAUACGUAGGGACCAAGCGUUGUUCGGAUUUACUGGGCGUAAAGCGCACGUAGGCGGAUUGUUAAGUCAGAGGUGAAAUCCCGGAGCUCAACUUCGGAACUGCCUUUGAUACUGGCAAUCUAGAGUCCGGAAGAGGUUAGUGGAAUUCCCAGUGUAGAGGUGAAAUUCGUAGAUAUUGGGAAGAACACCAGUGGCGAAGGCGGCUAACUGGUCCGGUACUGACGCUGAGGUGCGAAAGCGUGGGGAGCAAACAGGAUUAGAUACCCAUGUAGUCCCUGAGCGGGCUGGCAAGGCGCAU